GCCAAAAUAGCUCAGGUGGUAGAGCAUUUCCCUCGUAAUGAAAAGGUCGCGGGUUCGAGUCCCGCUUUUGGCU
Molecule: transfer RNA, 73 nt
Filed under: Tidjanibacter sp.
Lineage: Bacteria; Pseudomonadati; Bacteroidota; Bacteroidia; Bacteroidales; Rikenellaceae
Also listed under: 1 other name
Description: tRNA-Thr
Rfam family: tRNA
About the family: Transfer RNA (tRNA) molecules are approximately 80 nucleotides in length.
Source: RNAcentral